AUUGAACGCUGGCGGCAUGCCUUACACAUGCAAGUCGAACGGUAACAGGUCUUCGGAUGCUGACGAGUGGCGAACGGGUGAGUAAUACAUCGGAACGUGCCCGAUCGUGGGGGAUAACGGAGCGAAAGCUUUGCUAAUACCGCAUACGAUCUACGGAUGAAAGCAGGGGACCGCAAGGCCUUGCGCGGACGGAGCGGCCGAUGGCAGAUUAGGUAGUUGGUGGGAUAAAAGCUUACCAAGCCGACGAUCUGUAGCUGGUCUGAGAGGACGACCAGCCACACUGGGACUGAGACACGGCCCAGACUCCUACGGGAGGCAGCAGUGGGGAAUUUUGGACAAUGGGCGAAAGCCUGAUCCAGACCAUGCCGCGUGCAGGAUGAAGGCCUUCGGGUUGUAAAGCUCUUUCAGCAGGAACGAAACGGCCGACUUUAAUAAAGU
Molecule: ribosomal RNA, 438 nt
Filed under: uncultured bacterium
Lineage: Bacteria
Description: bacterial SSU rRNA
Rfam family: Bacterial small subunit ribosomal RNA
Source: RNAcentral